UCCCCCAUAGGCCUGAGGUACUGGAAGGUCCUCAGGCCGAAAGGGGCUCUGCCCGCCCGAGGAUGGGCCGGCGGCCGAUUAGGUAGUUGGUGGGGUAACGGCCCACCAAGCCGAAGAUCGGUACGGGCCAUGAGAGUGGGAGCCCGGAGAUGGACACUGAGACACGGGUCCAGGCCCUACGGGGCGCAGCAGGCGCGAAACCUCCGCAAUGCGGGCAACCGCGACGGGGGGACCCCCAGUGCCGUGGCAACGCCACGGCUUUUCCGGAGUGUAAAAAGCUCCGGGAAUAAGGGCUGGGCAAGGCCGGUGGCAGCCGCCGCGGUAAUACCGGCGGCCCGAGUGGUGGCCGCUAUUAUUGGGCCUAAAGCGUCCGUAGCCGGGCCCGUAAGUCCCUGGCGAAAUCCCACGGCUCAACCGUGGGGCUUGCUGGGGAUACUGCGGGCCUUGGGACCGGGAGAGGCCGGGGGUACCCCUGGGGUAGGGGUGAAAUCCUAUAAUCCCAGGGGGACCGCCAGUGGCGAAGGCGCCCGGCUGGAACGGGUCCGACGGUGAGGGACGAAGGCCAGGGGAGCGAACCGGAUUAGAUACCCGGGUAGUCCUGGCUGUAAAGGAUGCGGGCUAGGUGUCGGGCGAGCUUCGAGCUCGCCCGGUGCCG
Molecule: ribosomal RNA, 655 nt
Filed under: uncultured archaeon
Lineage: Archaea
Description: bacterial SSU rRNA
Rfam family: Archaeal small subunit ribosomal RNA
Source: RNAcentral